RNAcentral lists this ribosomal RNA (253 nucleotides) under uncultured bacterium. Its description in RNAcentral is "partial 16S ribosomal RNA". It matches the Rfam family "Bacterial small subunit ribosomal RNA", at positions 524 to 776 of the family's 1533-position model. The record is from RNAcentral.
UACAGAGGGGGCAAGCGUUGUCCGGAAUUACUGGGCGUACAGCGCGCGCAGGCGGACCGCCACGUGCCGUGUGACAAGCCACUGCUCAACAGUGGAGGGCCAGGGUACACGAGCGGUCUGGAGGCAGGGAGAGGGAUGUGGAAUGCCCGGUGGAGCGGUGAAAUGCGUAGAGAUCGGGCGGAACACCAGCGGCGAAGGCGGCAUCCUGGUCCUGUUCUGACGCUGAGGCGCGAGAGCGUGGGGAGCGAACAGG